UAUUCUGCCCCACGGGGAAGGAUGAGAAGCUUCGACCAAGGUUCGACUCGAGCGAAGCGAGAGAACGUUGCCGCAGGCAACGGCCCGAAGGGCGAAGCGAGAGAACGUUGCCGCAGGCAAUGGCCCGAAGGCGAGGCGCUUUAGCGCCGAGUAAUCCUUCCCCCACCACUG
RNAcentral lists this small RNA (171 nucleotides) under Klebsiella pneumoniae. RNAcentral describes it as "RtT sRNA". It matches the Rfam family "RtT RNA". From Rfam's summary of the family: This family represents a bacterial cis-regulatory element known as RtT RNA. Lineage: Bacteria; Pseudomonadati; Pseudomonadota; Gammaproteobacteria; Enterobacterales; Enterobacteriaceae. RNAcentral also lists the same sequence under 1 other name. The record is from RNAcentral.